Molecule: ribosomal RNA, 532 nt
Filed under: Morchella purpurascens
Lineage: Eukaryota; Fungi; Ascomycota; Pezizomycetes; Pezizales; Morchellaceae
Description: partial 28S ribosomal RNA
Rfam family: Eukaryotic large subunit ribosomal RNA
Source: RNAcentral
ACGGCGAGUGAAGCGGCAAAAGCUCAAAUUUUAAAGCUGACAUCUUCGGUGUCCGCGUUGUAAUUUUGUGAGGCAUCUCCGGGUAGGGCGCCGGCCUAAGUUCCUUGGAACAGGACGUCACAGAGGGUGAGAAUCCCGUGCUUGGCUGGCUGUCCCCGUCCAUGUGAGGUGUCUUCGACGAGUCGAGUUGUUUGGGAAUGCAGCUCAAAAUGGGUGGUAAAUUUCAUCUAAAGCUAAAUAUUGGUGGGAGACCGAUAGCGCACAAGUAGAGUGAUCGAAAGAUGAAAAGCACUUUGAAAAUAGAGUUAAAAAGUACGUGAAAUUGUUGAAAGGGAAGCGCUUGAGACCAGACUUCGGUAAGGGGUGAUCAGCUGUCCUUUUGGGCGGUGCACUUGCCCCCCUCCGGGCCAGCAUCGGUUGAGGCGGCGGGAUAAAGGUCCCGGGAAUGUGGCUCCUUCACGGGAGUGUUAUAGCCCGGGUGAAUGCCGCCAGCUUCGACCGAGGACCGCACCCGCAAGGGUUAGGAUGCUUG